GAACCAGACAGAUAAUGCAGGCUGGACCGCGUUACACGAGGCCAGUGCUGCAGGCUUUGAGGCUGUGGUUCUGGAGUUACUACGGGCCGGGGCUGAUGUCACCUGCAGGGGAUUGGAGGGCAUAACACCUCUUCAUGAUGCAGUUGCUUCCGGACAAUAUGAGGUAGUGAAGCUUCUUCUCCAAUAUGGUUCAAACCCCCAAGAGAGGAAUGCUGUGGGCCAGAACGCUGUGGACAUUGCCAGCCGCGACAACAUGAAACAACUCCUCUCUACAUUCCAGGGCCCGUUUGUCCUACAUGAGCAGCUUAGUGAAGCACCUAAACAAGGAUGUGCCGUGCCAUCUGAGCUCUGUGUUGCCUCUGAGCCUGCGUUGGGCUCUGAGGGUCACAACAGGAAAAAGCCAGCUGGCCACAAUGAUCUGGGACUGAGUGACUGGGCCAGACACACAUCCAGGAGCAGAGACAGACAAUCAGCCAGACACCCAGGUGUCCCAGACAAAGACAUGGGUGACCAGGAGUCAGGGCGCAGAGACAAAGCCGGGGAGCCCGUUGACCUUCAGUCCAGUCAGAAAGACUGCACCUCUGUGAUACAAAAUAAUGCUGAAGCCAUCACUAAAGCCCUGGAGGGUGCAGAGAGACAGCUAGAGGAAUUGUCCAAGUGGAGUUUGAAUGAGUCAGAGAAUGCAGUCAAAUUAAGAGAGGCACUCUCAGAGAUUCAAAGUGUUCUAAAUGAUGUACUUGCCAAACAGCAAGCAGAAAAAGAUGACCUCACCAGGAAGUACAGGAUAGCGUCAGAUUUGUUCAGGCAAGGCGUGCUGCGUGGUCAGCUGACCUCAUUGGCAUCUCGUCAGAAGAAACUGCUGGCUAUCCUCCAGAAGCACAGCGACUUUAAGCUUCAUCUCCACACAAAGAGAGGCCAAGCUCAGCCUCAGCAACCUAGUACAGAGCACUCGCAGACACGUGGACACCAGGACUCCCCUUCCCUGACCAAAUCUACCAGCCCUGCUCCCUCAGAUAGGAGUCUUGCAGGAAAUGAAGGGAAUCCUGCUUCCAACCUAUCCAGUUUUAUUGGUAUUCAUGAAAACCGUAAUAACAUGGAAGAUAUUGGCCAGACAGCUCAGGUAGCGCCACCACAGAUACAACCACCGACACGACCCACUACUGCAGUAAUGUUACCUUGGACCGCCACACAGAAGCCCAACAUCUCCAAGGCAAUAUUGACCCCUGAAAUGGUGACCACAAUGGUUAAUGUGGUUCCUCCUCAAAUUGUACCCCCUCUGUCCAUUCCCGUGACAACCAACCUUCAGACUGCCUCCGGACAUGUCCUGGUAUCGAUGCCUAACGCUCCUCCGACUGCCCGUUCUCAAGAUCCACCCACCGCCAUUCCAAUGAGUAAAACAGACAUUCCGACACAACACUGUGAUAAUAACAAUGAGAGUUUCGUCAUCUUUCCAUCCCAUUCAGAAAAGAGAAACCAUCUACCACCACAAGUGAACAAAUCUAAUAUUGUACUAUGCAUGACAGAAACGAGGAUGGCUGUUGAGGGAGAGGAGAACAGGAAGUUGAUCAGCCUGAUCCAGAGAGGUAUCAUCACACCAGGAGAAGAUCCUCUACAGCUGAUGUGGAAGGGCAGAGUCCACCAGGCGUGUCUGCUCCAUGAUGGGUCGAUCAGAGACAGAGUGAAAGAUAAGGUUUUCCAGGCUCCAGAGCAUUGGGUGGCAGCCAUCCUAGGAAACAACAUCCCUGUCUCCUCUACCUACGCCUGGGACAAGAGUCUUCGUCAGUUUUCCAAAAUAUAAUGCAAAUCAAGUUGAUUCGAUUGAUCAGUGACGAUGAGUUAGUACCCCAUCAUAUAAUGGACCACUACUGGGACAACCUCACUCAGGCGGACAAGUUUUAUCCCCUUUGAAGGCUCAUUAUGAAUAUUAUUUUUCACUGUUGUCAUGAUUAAUGUGACUUGAACAUGUUUGUAUUCGGGAACAUUCUCAUACAGACAAACUGACAACUGGUGGUUUAAAAUUCCCCAUGGAGAGAAACUGAUGAUAAAUGUAUUUAGCUAUGAUCUGAUUCAACACUUAAGUGUUGGUGAUGUAAAGUCUUUAUCCACCACAAGAGGUUGAAGAGAGACUGACUGUUAUGCUACAAAUGUUCUAAUUUUAUGUUAACAAAUGUUACUUGUAACAUUUAUUACAGUUAUGAUUCAUUAAGGCUUAUCAAACUUGUUCCAAUACAUGCAUAAUUUAUUGUAAAAUUAAUAGUUAAACACCUUUCUCACACGUUCAGUUUUUAUGUAGUCAAAUAUAUGUGGCCACGUUUGUGUUUGUGAAGACCUACAGUAUUUGUUAUAAUGGCAUAAUGUCUAUGCUUCUUGUUUUCUAAAUCUGGUAGUCCAACUGAGUAAGGCUGAUUUAGACAUCAAAUGUUUUUAUUUAACUUUAGAAUUUGUUAUAUUGUUCUCUAGCAAGUUUAAUAAAUUACAUUUAUU
Long non-coding RNA from Esox lucius (northern pike), 2484 nucleotides. Lineage: Eukaryota; Metazoa; Chordata; Actinopteri; Esociformes; Esocidae. The record is from Ensembl.